This is a non-coding RNA of Pelodiscus sinensis (Chinese soft-shelled turtle), 709 nucleotides long. NCBI's taxonomy places the organism in Eukaryota, Metazoa, Chordata, Testudines, Trionychidae. The record is from RefSeq and is a predicted model, not a curated record.
AUCAUGAACACAAUAACAGGCAAGAGGAAGGGAGCAGAAUAGGAGAAUGAGAAAAUGGAGAGAUGAAUCAGAACGACCUUACACUUGUGUUAGCAAGCCCUGCUGGUGAAGAAGCUUGUUGUUAGAGAUGGCUGAAACUUCCCACUCCAGGAGAUUUCCUUACAGUGUAUCUUCCAGAGCUGUUGAUUCUCGAGAAGUAUUGGCUCGCUUUCAGGAAUCAGAGAUCUUGGGUGACUCAGUGGCAAUAGAGAUAUUAUUUCCAACCUCAUAAGAAGCAAGAAUUCACUGACUGGGCAAGAAAUUAAAGAUUUCCCUCCGAUACUUUCACUGGCAGAAUAUACCUCUUCACAUAAUUAGAAAACUGCAAAUAAUAAGCUAACAUUGUCAUGGCAUUUUCCUAUACUUGGCAUAUAGAAUAUCACGGUAACCCUAAGAACUUCCAAACAGCAAUUAUAAAGGUAGGUAAUGCUGAUCUUUUUUUAUUAGGUUAUUUUUCUUUUUGUGUUAUCAGUAGCUUGGGAAUACUUUUAUGGCGGGAGGGACAGAGAGAGAAUCCUUAAAGCCAGCUCUGUUACCUCUAUCCAAUACUGUAGUUGGGGGCAGAUGCAGAAGUUCCAUGAUCAGCAGCUGGAAUUCUAGGGGGGACUCAGCAACCAAGAGCUUAAGAACAGAGCUGAGCCCCAGCUAAAAUCUGAGGUGCUGCAGCAGC